AGAGGUGACUGCGUACCUUUUGCAUAAUGGGUCAGCGACUUACAUUCUGUGGCGAGCUUAACCGAAUAGGGGAGGCGCAGCGAAAGCGAGUUCGAAAUGAGCGUCCAGUCGCAGGGUGUAGACCCGAAACCAGAUGAGCUAUCCAUGGCCAGGUUGAAGGUGUGGUAACACACACUGGAGGACCGAACCGACUAGUGUUGCAAAAUUAGCGGAUGAGCUGUGGAUAGGGGUGAAAGGCCAAACAAAUCUGGAGAUAGCUGGUUCUCCCCGAAAACUAUUGAGGUAGUGCCUCGUGUGUCGCUCCAGGGGGUAGAGCACUGUUUUGGCUAGGGGGACAUGGAGUCUUACCAAACCAAGGCAAACUCCGAAUACCUGGAAGCGUGAGCACGGGAGACAGAGCACCGGGUGCUAACGUCCGGACUCAAAAGGGAAACAACCCAGACCGCCGGCUAAGGUCCCCAAUAACAGCUAAGUGGAAAACGAAGUGGAAAGGCCGUGACAACCAGGAAGUUGGCUUAGAAGCAGCCAUCCUUCAAAGAAAGCGUAAUAGCUCACUGGUCGAGUCCUUCUGCGCGGAAGAUGUAACGGGGCUAAGCUGUUAACCGAAGCCGCGGAUGCACUGAUUAUUCAGUGCGUGGUAGGGGAGCGUUCUGUAAGUCUGCGAAGGCGGUUCGAGAGGACUGCUGGAGAUAUCAGAAGUGCGAAUGCUGACAUGAGUAACGUUAAAGCAGGUGAAAAGCCUGCUCGCCGUAAGCCCAAGGAUUCCUGCUCUACGUUCAUCGGAGCAGGGUGAGUCGGCUCCUAAGGUCAGGCCGAAAGGCGUAGCCGAUGGGAAUCAGGUUAAUAUUCCUGAACCUGCGUCAGAUGCGAUGGGGGGACGGAGCAUGAAAGAUCAUCCGGGUGUUGGAUGUCCCGGUUGACGAGCGUAGGAGGUCUGCAGGCAAAUCCGCAGACGCAUCUCCAAGGCGAAGUCACGUGCCGCCACGGCGGCGAAGUGAUCGGAAGUGCUUCCAAGAAAAGCCUCUAAGCACCAGUCUGACGCGGACCGUACCGCAAACCGACACUGGUGGGCGAGCUGAAUAUGCUCAGGCGCUUGAGAGAACUCGGGAGAAGGAACUCGGCAAAUUGACACCGUAACUUCGGAAGAAGGUGUGCCGUAGUACCGUGAGAGGAGAGACACCUUGAGCGGGAAUCGGUCUCAGAGAAUAGGUGGCUGCGACUGUUUAUUAAAAACACAGCACUCUGCAAAGUCGAAAGACGACGUAUAGGGUGUGAUGCCUGCCCGGUGCUGGAAGAUUAAUUGAUGGGGUGAGAGCCCUUGAUCGAAGUCCCAGUAAACGGCGGCCGUAACUAUAACGGUCCUAAGGUAGCGAAAUUCCUUGUC
RNAcentral lists this ribosomal RNA (1384 nucleotides) under human gut metagenome. RNAcentral's name for it is "bacterial LSU rRNA". It matches the Rfam family "Bacterial large subunit ribosomal RNA", at positions 589 to 1973 of the family's 2925-position model. The record is from RNAcentral.